UACAGAGGUCCCGAGCGUUGUUCGGAUUCAUUGGGCGUAAAGGAUGCGUAGGCGGCUUCCUAAGUUUGAUGUGAAAUCCUGGGGCUCAACCCUGGAACUGCAUUGAAUACUGGGAGGCUAGAGUACUGGAGAGGAAACUGGAAUUUACGGUGUAGCAGUGAAAUGCGUAGAGAUCGUAAGGAAGACCAGUGGCGAAGGCGAGUUUCUGGACAGUUACUGACGCUGAGGCACGAAGGCCAGGGGAGCAAACGGG
RNAcentral lists this ribosomal RNA (253 nucleotides) under uncultured bacterium. Its description in RNAcentral is "partial 16S ribosomal RNA". It matches the Rfam family "Bacterial small subunit ribosomal RNA", at positions 524 to 776 of the family's 1533-position model. The record is from RNAcentral.